This is a small nuclear RNA of Aotus nancymaae (Ma's night monkey), 107 nucleotides long. The record is from Ensembl. Lineage: Eukaryota; Metazoa; Chordata; Mammalia; Primates; Aotidae.
UUGUUCACUUUGACAGCACAUAUACUAAAAUUUGAAUGAUACAGAGAAGAUUAGCAUGGCUCCUGCACAAAGACAAGAUACAAAUUUGUGAAGAUUUUCAUACUAAA